Molecule: ribosomal RNA, 504 nt
Filed under: uncultured bacterium
Lineage: Bacteria
Description: partial 16S ribosomal RNA
Rfam family: Bacterial small subunit ribosomal RNA
Source: RNAcentral
AUUGAACGCUGGCGGCACGCCUAACACAUGCAAGUCGAGCGGCAGCAUGCUUAGUAGCAAUACUAAGUGAUGGCGAGCGGCGGUCGGGUGAGGAACACGUAGGAACCUGCCCAAGAGAGGGGGAUAACUAAGGGAAACUUUAGCUAAUACCGCAUAAUCUCUGAGGAGAAAAGUUGCCCGCAAGGGUAGCGCUUUUGGAGGGGCCUGCGUCCGAGUAGUUAGUUGGUGAGGUAAUGGCUCACCAAGACGAUGAUCGGUAACUGGUCUGAGAGGACGACCAGUCCCACUGGGACUGACACACGGCCCAGACUCCCACGGGAGGCAGCAGUGGGGGAUCUUGGACAAUGGGCGCAACCCUGAUCCAGCGAUGCCGCGUGGGUGAAGAAGGCCUUCGGGUUGUAAAGCCCUUUAGGCUGGGAAGAAGAGUGCGGGGUGAAUAAUCCUGUACUUUGACGGUACCAGCAGAAUAAGCACCGGCAAACUCUGUGCCAGCCGCCGCAGUAA